Molecule: long non-coding RNA, 727 nt
Organism: Pipra filicauda (Wire-tailed manakin)
Lineage: Eukaryota; Metazoa; Chordata; Aves; Passeriformes; Pipridae
Exons: 2
Source: RefSeq, a predicted model, not a curated record
CGUCACAGUGUGGGACAUGUGUCACAGCAACCCCACUUUUAGAAAAGAGUGUGGCCCCUUGCUGACUUCUGGGCUGGGACUCGCAGGGUCUGAGGCAAACUGGUGAAAAUAGACAUUAUCCUGAACAUAUCUGCUCAGAUGGCUGAGUUUGAUUUUGUACUUCAUUGCUAACCAAGGCUGAAUACUUCAAGGCUGAGUCAAACUACUCUAAAUAUGGGCUAUUUUAUCCAUCACUAAAUUAAAUGGCUUUACUGCUGAGACAAGGCAAUGUUGUAACAGCACACAGCACAACCCAGCAGUCAGAACAAGAAACAACGAAGGUGGUUUCUGACAGAAAGCGCUCAGGGUGUUUGAAGAGGCAGACUGCCAGGGCUCUACAGGUGUCAUCCUGCUCCCUAGUUCUCAGCUAGGACAGCAGCUCAGGAGAGAUGAAAGGAGGAAAGAUGAAACACAACAUGCCACGAACUUUCUCACUGCAAUGCUGAUUACUGCUAGCGAAAGAAAGCAAGCUAAGGAGGCACUGGAAAGACAGGCUCAGUCGAGUACCCCAUACCAAAUACUCUGAGAUGGUGAUUUGAACCCAGAACCACAUGUGGUAGUAUGUGUGCCUGUAAUGAUCUAAACUAGAAGCACAGACACAAAAGUGCUUGCAGCGUUGUCAGGCUCUUUCAUUUGGUCCCUGAUUUGGACUUCAGAACAUGCGCAACAAUAAACAGAGUAAAAGGUA